CGACCGGCGCACGGGUGAGUAACGCGUAUCCAACCUGCCCACCACUUGGGGAUAACCUUGCGAAAGUAAGGCUAAUACCCAAUGAUAUCUCUAGAAGACAUCUGAAAGAGAUUAAAGAUUUAUCGGUGAUGGAUGGGGAUGCGUCUGAUUAGCUUGUUGGCGGGGUAACGGCCCACCAAGGCGACGAUCAGUAGGGGUUCUGAGAGGAAGGUCCCCCACAUUGGAACUGAGACACGGUCCAA
This 242-nucleotide ribosomal RNA is filed under the name uncultured bacterium. RNAcentral's name for it is "partial 16S ribosomal RNA". It matches the Rfam family "Bacterial small subunit ribosomal RNA", at positions 92 to 334 of the family's 1533-position model. The record is from RNAcentral.